Molecule: non-coding RNA, 137 nt
Organism: Artibeus jamaicensis (Jamaican fruit-eating bat)
Lineage: Eukaryota; Metazoa; Chordata; Mammalia; Chiroptera; Phyllostomidae
Product: small Cajal body-specific RNA 11
Exons: 1
Source: RefSeq, a predicted model, not a curated record
UUGUCCUGGUCUAUGCUUUCUCUGCUCCCCCUGUAUUCUUGUAACAGGGAAGUCUGCAGGAUACACAGCAGUCUCCCUCUCAGUUUAGGAGGACUAUCUGAGUAUAGGGCUGCCUCUUAAUGGCACGAGAGGGCAAU